RNAcentral lists this ribosomal RNA (253 nucleotides) under uncultured bacterium. RNAcentral describes it as "partial 16S ribosomal RNA". It matches the Rfam family "Bacterial small subunit ribosomal RNA", at positions 524 to 776 of the family's 1533-position model. The record is from RNAcentral.
GACGAAGGGGGCUAGCGUUGUUCGGAAUUACUGGGCGUAAAGCGUGCGUAGACGGUUAUUUAAGUCGGAUGUGAAAGCCCCGGGCUCAACCUGGGAAUUGCAUUCGAGACUGAAUAGCUAGGGUACGGUAGAGGGAAGUGGAAUUUCCGGUGUAGCGGUGGAAUGCGUAGAUAUCGGAAGGAACAUCAGUGGCGAAAGCGACUUCCUGGACCAGUACCGACGUUCAGGCACGAAAGCGUGGGGAGCAAACAGG